Long non-coding RNA from Hypomesus transpacificus, 569 nucleotides. RefSeq lists it as uncharacterized. The record is from RefSeq and is a predicted model, not a curated record. Lineage: Eukaryota; Metazoa; Chordata; Actinopteri; Osmeriformes; Osmeridae. The transcript has 3 exons.
UGAUGGACUUGCAAAAGCUGCAUUUCCUUUUCAUCCAGGAUAGCUCAUCUUAAUAGUAUGUAUGCAACACUUCUAUCUUGUCUUGAGGCUUGACAGUCGUGUCUUAAAACACCAAGUGGUUCAAUGGAAAAGGGAAAGUUUCGACCUGGUGAUGUUGGCUCCACCAUAGAGGUUGAGCCGAGUGAUUCAGAAGAUUCCACAACUAAUUGCACGGAUCAGCUUAUUGGAGCACACCCAAAGACCACAUUAAAGUGUUGAAAUUAACCCUGUAAAAGCCUUCUCUAUAUGACUUGAAUAAACAAUGCCUGUGGCACAGUUUAAGUUGCAUGACCCACAGAGAAUGCUGUAAUCAGUCAACACAUUUCUCCUAAAUGUGUUCAAGUCACACCGAGAGAUAUGGAGAUGUUUUCAGACUGACUCACAGAAGAACAGAACAAAUGCCAAACUGGAUUUACUGUUUGUGAAAGUGAUUGAAACUAACAACACAAUUUGUGACAAUGUUAGUUUCCAUGAAAUGUAUUCUUACUUGUUAUUCCAAAUAAAAAAUAAAACCUUCAAGUUGCCUUCUG